UACGUAGGGGGCAAGCGUUGUCCGGAUUUAUUGGGCGUAAAGAGCUCGUAGGUGGUUCGGUAAGUCGGAUGUGAAAUCUUCAGGCUCAACCUGGAGGGGUCAUUCGAUACUGCCGUGACUAGAGUUCGGUAGGGGAGUGUGGAAUUCCUGGUGGAGCGGUGAAAUGCGCAGAUAUCAGGAGGAACACCCGUAGCGAAGGCGGCACUCUGGGCCGAUACUGACACUGAGGAGCGAAAGCGUGGGGAGCGAACAGG
This 254-nucleotide ribosomal RNA is filed under the name uncultured bacterium. RNAcentral's name for it is "partial 16S ribosomal RNA". It matches the Rfam family "Bacterial small subunit ribosomal RNA", at positions 524 to 776 of the family's 1533-position model. The record is from RNAcentral.